Molecule: ribosomal RNA, 497 nt
Filed under: uncultured bacterium
Lineage: Bacteria
Description: partial 16S ribosomal RNA
Rfam family: Bacterial small subunit ribosomal RNA
Source: RNAcentral
GAUGAACGCUGGCGGCGUGCCUAAUACAUGCAAGUCGAGCGAACAGACGAGGAGCUUGCUCUUCUGACGUUAGCGGCGGACGGGUGAGUAACACGUGGAUAACCUACCUAUAAGACUGGGAUAACUUCGGGAAACCGGAGCUAAUACCGGAUAAUAUCUUGAACCGCAUGGUUCAAUAGUGAAAGACGGUUUUGCUGUCACUUAUAGAUGGAUCCGCGCCGCAUUAGCUAGUUGGUAAGGUAACGGCUUACCAAGGCAACGAUGCGUAGCCGACCUGAGAGGGUGAUCGGCCACACUGGAACGGAGACACGGUCCAGACUCCUACGGGAGGCAGCAGUAGGGAAUCUUCCGCAAUGGGCGAAAGCCUGACGGAGCAACGCCGCGUGAGUGAUGAAGGUCUUCGGAUCGUAAAACUCUGUUAUUAGGGAAGAACAAAUGUGUAAGUAACUAUGCACGUCUUGACGGUACCUAAUCAGAAAGCCACGGCUAACUACGUG